GGCCUCGUGGCGCGUUGGGGAGGAUUCCCCGGGAGCUGUGUGAAGUGUUUUCCUGCAGUUUAAAAAUAAAGUUUGUUCCUGCUUCAGUGACUCAUGAUUUGUGCCCAGCCAGACUGCGGCAGAAUCAGAUAUCAUUUCAAUUUUUCAGGUAAGAAAUAUGAGAAGCAAAAUAAGUGUCUAGCUUAAAAUAAUGCAGAUUGCAGAAAUUAAAUUUGGGACUCAAACCUACUGGUUAUAGGUUAUAUCAGGGUUUUUUUUUUCCUCUUUACACCAGUGUAUUUACAAACUAAAUUUAAAAUUAAGACACUGUUUCCAAAUGACAUUUUAAUUUAACUCUAAUAUUAAUUAGAUAUGGACAGUGUUAUGCUGGUUGGAGGGCAGAAUUGACCUCUAAGACAUUGUGGCUCUGUGUGAUAGAGUGACAACCAGUGCCCUGCAUCACAAUUAGGCAUUGAAGGCCUGAGAAAUGACCACAGAGAAAAUAGUUCCCUCUCUCUGGAAGUGGAGCUCAUCUGUCAUGCAGUCACUACUUGAACAAAUUCCAUGCCUCUCAAUCACAGCAUUUCCUUUCACACCCUGAAGUUGAACCCAUUUUUGCUGCUAUUUUUACUCUAAAAUAGGAAAGAGAGGAGGGUAUCAUGCACCUUGACAAGUUGCCACCUGACAGACUUCCAGACAGUCUUAUUAAUUUGUGAGAUUGGUAUCUGAAUUUACCAAAGAACACAGGCAAGAUGAAUCUUGGGCAACGUUCAAUGGCAUCCUAAGUAGCUCCCUUUAUAGAGUCAUUCAUUGCUUUGCUGAAAAGGGAUACUUUAGCAAGGGGGCAAAGUCAAGGAGCAGAAAGGCCAUGGGUGGGGGUCUCAAGCCAGUCAGUGAUGUGGUCCCAUGUCUUAUCCCCAGUGACUUUUUCUUUAAGAUUCUAUUUUUUUAAGUUGUUGAUAGACAUUUAUUUUAUUUAUAUACAUGCAGUGCUGAGCUCAAACCCAGUGUCUCACAUAUGCUAGGCAAGUGUUCUACCACUGAGAUAUAACCCCAGCCCCACCCAGUGACUUCUGAACAAGCCAUGGUAUCAUGAAGUUAGCAUGAGCUUGGUAGCUUCCUGUCACAUUACUUACAAACACAACAAUGUUAAACAUUUACAAAACAUUUGUAUUGCUAUUAUUUUUAAUUUUCAGAGUUGGAACUAACCUCUACCAAUUCCUGAAGAAGAAAGACCAAGCAGCCGCUAGUGCCCCAGCUCCUCCCCGAUAUACAUCCUGGGGUGUAAUCAGGUGACUGUGUAUAAAACAGAGAAGUGUACACCUUAGGAGUAAACCCAUUCCAGUCUGUUUUAGUUUUGACUCUCUAUUAUCAGUGACAGGGGCUAAACAACAGCUAUUCCUGCAUCAGACAGGAAGGCAAAGGCCUGAUAGAUAUUCAGCCACAUGGUACAAGGUCAAAUUCUGGCUAUUCAAUUUUUGUCCAAAUUUUAAAAUUUUAUCUUCUGUGUUCUUUUCUUUCAAGUUUUUGAUCUCUGCUCAGUAUUGCAUUCUAAGUAAUUUGAUCAUAUCAAUCUUCCAAUUCUCUAAUUCCUCCUUCAGGGACAACUGUGUCUAGUCUAGUCUUUUAAAGCAUUUAUUUUUUGGAUUCUCCCCAAGUUAAUAAUGACUAGCUUCAAUCUACUCCAAGAAAAACAAAGUGAAGUCUGUACUAAACAUUUCUUUUUUAUUUCAAAGCAAACAAAACAAAAAGUUGCAGGGUAACAACCUUACUAACAAUCAAAUGAAAUAGAAUUAAAAUAACAAUGUAAUACUUUCUCUUUUUAAGGAAACCAGUCAUUAGUAGUCAAUGCUGGCAAGGAUGUAUGUAAAAUAUUUCUCUCGUAUGCAGGUGUCCUUUAUAAAUUACUAUAAUUGAAAGGAAAGUGAGAAAGUGAGAGAUGGGUGAGCAAGAAAUGAAGGACAGAGACCAGGCAGAGAGCCACACGAAAGUUUGUCAAAGCUGAAAAAUAAAGGUCACCCCUCUAUAGAGUGGAGAGAGGCCCCCCGAGAUGUUUGGGCCUUGAGCUUUUGUGGGGCAGGGGUUUGGAGGUGUGGCUCUGGUGCUGUGGGCCAGGCUCGGGGUGCUUGCAUCAGAUCAAGGUGGGUGGGAAUAGCCUAGGAUUGGAGUAGGUCCAUGGCACCAUGGGGCAUUCCAGAGUCAAGGGGUCCUGUCCUUCUAGGAUUGGCUUAGGGUUAUGGUAUCUUGGGGUAGGUCACUAACGGGGAUGGGGUGAGUUCAAGAGGAAGUACAGGAAAGCGAAACUUAUCUCAUAAGAUGGUGGCUAACAUUUAAGAUGGCUGCCCAGAUGUUAAAAAUCAAGACCCUAUAAUAAGAGAGUAAAAAGCAAUUCUAAAUAUAUAUAAGAAGCUUUACCUGUAAUUUGAGUUUAAGAAACAAAUAAUACAGCUAAUACUUUGGAAAUCACAUUAAGUUAAAUUAUAUAUGGAGUAAAAGUUAUUACUACUAGUAACUAUACUAUUAGUAAUAACUAUUACUAAUCUGUUAGAAAAAUAGAUACUAGUAAUUACUAUAUAAAUUAUAGAUGGAGUAUAAGUUAUUACCAUAAAAUAGAAAAAGAUUUGAACAGUAUACAUAUAUGGGGUGUCGGAUUGAUAGGGUAAUAUUUUUCUUUUUUAUAACUUUUCUUUCUGUACUGGAGAUUAAACCCAGGGUCUUGCACAUGCUAAGCAAGUGUUCUACCACUGAGCUAUCCCCCAGUUCUAUAAUUUUUCUUAUACUACUAUUUUUUAUUGAGGAAAAAUUCACAUAAAAUAGAAUUACACAUUUUUAAUGUGCACAAUUGAGGAGCAUUAAGGAUACUCACAAUGUUGUGCAGCCAUACCCUCUGUGUAGUUCAAAAAUAUUUGACUCCUGUACCCAUUGAUCAGUCUAUCCACACUUCUGCCUCCUCUCCAAUUCCUGACAACCACUAAUCUACUUUCUGUCUCUAUGUAUUUACCUAUUCUGGAUAUUUUGUAUAAAUGGAAUCAUAAAAUAUGUGACAUUUUGUGUAGACCUUUUUUUACUUAUAUGAGGUUAAACCAUGUUGUUUCAUGUAUUAAUAUAUCAUAUCUUUUUUUUUGGCUGAAUACUGUUCCAUUGUAUGGAUAUACCACGGUAUAUUGGUCUAUUUUUUCAUCCAUGGACAUUUAGGUUGUUUCUAACUUUUUGGCUGUAAUAAAUAGUGCUGCUAUGAGCAUUCAUUUUACAAGGUUUUUUUUGGAGAAAUACUUUCAAUUCUUUGGGACCUAUACCUAGGAGUGCUUUUAUAAACAUACAAUUAAUUGUUCAGUGAAGGCAUAUUUAUUGAUUUUUCUGUCUCAGUUUGUGUGCAGCCUCUUAGGAGAACCAUAUAGUAGAAUUUUCCACUAUGACUAUCCUAAAUGAAAGUCAUGGUAAGUAUGUGAGUUUCUGUUUCACGGUGGUCCUAAGGAGUGGGCGCUUAGAUCAAGUGAUGUUCAAAAUGCAGGCCAGGAAGCAUCUGGUGAACCAUGUAGUAGCAACCAGAAAACAAGUCAGUGCUGUUUACUGCUGUUAAUUUUGUAAUAGACUCGUGGAGAUCUGAGAGUCCUUGCAUAAGAUUUAAGGGAAAAAGAGGACUUUUAGGUCUGUGUGGACCUGAAAGUAGACUUCCAUGAACCUUGGAUGGCAGCCUUAGACCUUGUCUGGAGGUGGGGAAUGAGAGGGAGAGAGUGUACUGCCCACUAUCCUGGAAGGCCUUCUCCUCACACAUUGAAGACUCCAAUCUGGCUUGGUGAUUUGAUGGUGACCGAGGCAACUGAUGUUGUAGGGCUUUCAUGGAAGGCUCCGCUGUGUGUGUGUGACAACUUAGGAAUAGUGGACUUUGCAAUGCUCUUGGGAAAAAAAAUAGGUUCUCAUCUGGAAUUUGCUUCUGUUUUCAUCAGAGAGUUGAUCUUUUAAAAAAUAUUUAUUUUUUAGUUUUAGGUGGACACUAUAUUUUUAUUUUUAUGUGGUGCUGAGAAUUGAACACAGUACCUCAUGCAUGCUAGGCGAGCACUCUACCACUGAGCCACAACCCCAGCUCCCCUGAGAGUUGAUCUUAAAGUUAUAAAUAUGGCCUGAAUACCCUCUGACUUUUAUUUCCAGCAAGAAGAAUAAAAUCUCAGGGAAAAGAUUACAAAUGGAGGAAACAAUUCCCUUGAUAAAAUGGAUAGAAAUUCAUUUACAUAUGAUUUUUGACUAUCAGACAUUGAAGCCCAUGAGAACCCCUGGAAAGAUAUUGCAAAGAUAUUGCGGUCAGCCAAAAAAAUACUUGCCUGAGAAAUACUUGUUCCUCUUAAUGGGAAAUGAAGAUUAAUCCCAACUGGGCAUCAAACAUCAGCCAAGUGCUCAGUAAGUAUUGAGACAGAAAAUAUUGCAGGUUUUUAAUCAAAGUUCUUACUGGAUCACAGUGAUGUUCCAGGUUAGCUCAACAUAAAGGUUUCAAUCCAAGGUGAAGAGCCUUUAACGUCUUUUCUACAUUUAGCUUGCUUUAAUUGAAGAGGAGAGCAAAGCCAACAGCUGGUGAGAAUCUGUUCAGCUAUUUUUUUUUCAAUGCAAAGUCAAUUUUGAGCAGUUCUUAUGUCUUUCAAAAGAAAUGGAUUUGGAGCUAGGCACAGUGGUGCACACCUGUAAUCCCAGCAGUUUUGAAAGCUGAGGCAGGAGGAUUGCAAGUUCAAAGACAGCCUCAGCAAUUUAGAGAGGCUCUGAGCAACUUAGUGAGAACCUGUGUCAAGUGAAAAAUUAACAAAAAGGUUGGGGUUGAGGAUGUAUCUCAGGAGUCAAGCACUCUGGGGUUUUUUUAUUCUAAUUAGUUAUAUAUGACAGUAGAAUGCAUUUUGACACAUUGCAUACAAAUGGAACAUAGGUGCUGAGUCACACUGGUAGUAUAAUCAUACAUGUAAAUGGGGUAAUAGUGUCUAUCUCAUUCUACCGUCCUUCCCAUCCCCACCACCCCACCCCUCCCCUCACUCCCUUCUGCACAAUCCAAAGAUCCUUCAUUCUUUCCUAUUCAGCUCCCAACUAUGGAUAAGCAUCCACUAUCAGAGAAAACACUUGUCCUUUGAUUUUGGGGGAUUGGCUUAUUUCACUUCACAUGAUAUUCUCUAGUUCUAUCCAUUUACCUGAAAAUGCCAUAAUUUCUUUCUUUAAGGCUGAGUAAUAUUCAAUUGUGCAUAUGUACCACAAUUUUCUUUAUCCAUUCAUCGUUGAAGGGCACCUAGGUUGGAACUUCCAUAGUUUAGCUAUUGUUAAUUGAGCUGCUAUAAACAUUGAUGUGGCUGUGUCAAUAGAGUAUGCCAAUUUUAAGUCCUUUGGAUAUAAACUGGAGAGUGGGAUAACUAGAUCAAAUGGUGGCUCCAUUCUAAGUUUUCUUAGGAAUCUCCACACUGCUUUGCAGAGUGAUUGCACCAACUUGCAGUCCCACCAGCAAUGUAUGAGUGUGCCUUUUUCUCCACAUCCUUGCCAACAUUUAUUAUUGCUUGUAUUCUCGAUAAUUGUCAUUCUGACUGGAGUGAGAUGAAAUCUUGGAGUAGUUUUGAUUUGCAUUUCUCUAACUGCUAGAGAUGAUGAACAUUUUUUCAUAUUUGUUGAUCAAUUGCAUUUCUUCUUCUGUGAAGUGUCUGUUCAGUCCUUAGCCCAUUUAUUGAUUGGGUUAUUUGGGGGUUUUUUUGUGUUAAUUUUUUUUAGUUCUUUAUGUAUGCUGGAGAAUAGUGCUCCAUCUGAGAGCAUCUCUGAGUUUAAUCCCCAGUACUGAGGUGGAGGGAGAGGGAGAAGGAGGAAGAGAGAGAGAGAGAAGAGGAGAGAAGAGGAGAGGAGAGGAAAGGGGAAAUAUAUGGGGAGUAGUCAAGUGUUUAGUGGUAGCUAAUAGUGAGAUUUCAGCCCCAAAGAAAAGUCAUCCUGCUCUGAACUCAGGUCCUGUUCUUUAAGUAAGCACCAACCUCAACAUUUUAGAUGCAAACGUUUCAGUAUCCCUAAGGCAACUGAGAACUGAGAAAAAUUAUCCUUCCUGAACCUUAGGCUCCGUGAGGUUCCUUCAGACCCCGGUGCCUCUUCCAGACCUUCUCUCGUUAUUCCAUUUGACAGUAGUUUCCCAUUUGAUCCACACUGAUUCUGCAGUUCUGGGUUGAGGAUUCUAAGGCCUCUUCAGGGCUCAGCAGCAAACCGCACCAUAUUUCUGCUGCAGACACGAACAGGAAUUUCUUCCCUGCCCUUUCUGAUUGGCUGGGAAUCCUUGGUUGUUUCCCAUCACUAGGGCAGGCUAGUCCCUUCCCAUUCCCCAACCCUUGUGCCCAGGCCUGCCUAGUUCCUCAGUGGUGGGAUGGAGUAGAAGGAACUUGGGUUCAAACUCAUCUGAACUCAAACCUUAGCUCUGCUACUUAGCUGUGUGACUUUGAUGAAAGAAUGAGUUGAAAUAACAUUAAGCACAGGACUUAGGCUUAGUGGGUGCUCAAUUAAUUAUACCCUUCUUUUACAGCUCAACUUCAGCUUAUUUUGGGGAAGCUAUUUCUGGUUCUCUUAGCUCCCAUGGCCUCCUCCAAAUCCCCCUUUCCUAUGCUCUUUUCCAGCUUUACUGUGAUCUCCGUUUUCCUCAUCCUUCAUCCCAAAUACACUCAGCUAUUUGUCUUCCUUAUCUCUGUAUCUCAAGCAGCUAACACUCUGUCUGGCACGUAUUCAUUGUUCCAGAAUGGUGCUUGCUGAUAAGUGCUUCUAAACUUCUGAUCCCUACCCACCUGCCUUAACAAGUUAAGAUAGUCCUACUUGAGUGAUGGAAGCCAUCCGUUCAUAAGGCUUCUUCAACAGUGUCAAGGGCAAUGUCAGCUCUAGCCGCCUCUGCUUUUCCCAAACUGAAGUGAGCUAGCAACACAGGAUGUGAAGGGAGACUUCAUGGUUUCCAGACCAUGAAACUACAGAAGAACUCUUUCAAAUCACCAUAUGGCUGGUGGAGCCCAAUGCACCCAGUGAUGAGCACCAUGGUGACACCCGUGGUGAUACACUGCACCAGGCGGCCUACUGAGUCAUGGAGUCAGGAGAUGAUAAGACUUCCGGUGCUGCUGGGAUGAGACUCCUAAUGAGGUUUAGGGAAUGAUGUUUCCAUCCAGCUGCUCUCAGGCAAUGUGAAUCCUGUGUUAAAGCCUUAACCCUCCUAAAUUAGACCUCAAGGGCUUACAUUUGGCAUUGGGUGAUCUUAUAAAGAAAGCCACAGACCAUUCUCUAUGCCAAACCUCAGUAUUGGGAAUUAAGCAGGAAAUUCCUUAAUAUAUUUGCUGUAAGUUCCAUGCUGUAUGCACCCCCACCCCUAUUGUCUUUCCCUGUUCUCCCUUUAGUGGAGAGGGUUUCUUUUAGCAUAUUAGACACCCAAAUUUUUCUAUGGGAAGUGGUUGGUUUCAGCCAGGAAGAGGCUGGUUUAUGUGGCAGGUUACCUGACUUAUGUGUCAGAGCUACCUGAAGCAUUGCAAACAGGAACCCAGUGGAAAGGAAUUGUGGGGAGCCCUGAAAGCUGGCACUUACUGGCUCUAGCCCACAACAAUGACAGGCUGAAGGACCCUGGGGAAAUGAUCAUGGAGAAGGUAGGAGGAUCAGGGGCCAAAGAGAAGGGGCUUCUGUCUGCUCACAUGGUAUUGAGUUGGCAUCUGCUGAGAAGCAUCCCAAAAGGAAGAUAAAGAAAUAUCUAUACCAGUCUUUGAAGACCACAUGAAUUUCUGAGAAGCCAUGAAUAAUAUUGUAUUCUUAGGGUUAAACUAAGAGCAUCUACCCCUGUUUUAGUUAGCUUUUAUUUUUGCUCUGACUAAAAGUACCCAACAGAACAACUGUAGAGGAGGAAAAGUUUAUUUAAGGGCUCACAGUUUCAGAGGUCUCAAUCCAUAGAUAGCAGAUUCUAUUCUUCAGGGUUCAAGGUGAGUCUGAACAUUGUGCGAAAGAGUGUGGCAAAAGAAAGCAGCUCCCAUUAUGAUCAGAAAACAGAGAGAGAGAAACUCCACUCUCCAGAUACAAAAUAUAUACCCCAUAGCCAUGCUCCCCAUGCCCCACCUCCUCCAGCCACCCCCACCUGCCUCCUGUUCCCCCUUAGUUAACCCCAUCAGGGAUUAAUUCACUGAUUAGGUUAAGUGUGUAACCCAAUCAUUUCUCCUCCAAACUUUCUUGCAUUGUCUCACCUGUGAGCUUUUGGGGGACACCACAGCUAAACCGUGACAACCCCAUCUUUCUCCACUUAGAAAGAAUUAGACAGGCAUAUCUAAUUAAAAAUUUUUAAAAAGGACAGAGGACUGGGCUGAACUGCAUGGAGAGUCUUUUUCUUAACCUUGUCAUAACAAUAACUUUGACUACAAGCCAGGUGUUGGUCUGCAUUUCAUAUUUUAACUCAUUUAAUUCUGUAAGUCUUAUCAUUUUAUUCCAGUACAGCUGAGGAAACUGAGGCACCGAAGGAUGAAGUGAGUGGACCAAGGUGGCAUGAGUUCAUGGUGGCAGAGCUGAGCCUGUGAAGGCAGGCUGUCAAGGGCAGGGCCUGUGCCCCUCACAGUGAGGGCACACUGCUUCUGCUCAGGCAUCAAGGCCUCUUCCAAACACCUCCUAACCCUGACUGGGCUCAGGUGUAUCUAUUAAUUAUUUCUGGGAUGGUCUAUGAGACACUUAGGGCAUGAACCUCUUUUCUUAAUAAGUUUUGCAUGCCCUGGUAUCCAGUUUGACAUAGAGACACAAAGCUAGUAUUAGUAAGUGCUUAAAAAAUGAAAUUAAUAAAUGAUUAUAUGCAGGGUUAUGGGAGAAAACUGGGGCUGUAUGGGGCAUAAUUGAAUAUUUGUAAAAUAGUCAUUAAUAUUUAUUGAUCACUUAGUAUGUCCCCAGCAGUGUGCUGAGGCGUAUUCAUGAAUUAUCUAUUAGGUCAUUAGUACAAACUUGUGAGGUGGUUCUCAUUUUAUCCCACUAUACACAUGAGGAAAGUAAGACUUAGAUUGACUUACUCAAGUUCACACUGUCAUGCUGUUAGUAAUCUGGAGAGUUAGGAUCCCAACUGCCAUUUGUCUAAUGCCCAAAUCUGUGAUCUUCAUCUUCACAGUCAUUUUCUGUGUUCAAAUCCUGGCCCAAAAGGUCUAACCUUGCACACUUGUCUUGGGAACAUUGAAGAAGCUUUGAACUCAGUUUUAGGAAGUCUCCCUAAAACAGUGUUGCAUAGGGUUGUAUUGAAAAGGCUCUGCUUUCCUCUGGUGGUCACAUUGCUAGCACUACCAGCUGAAUUAUAAUGGCCUCUUGCCUCAAGGCUCUAGGUACCUUUCUGUCCACAGGAGGAAGGAAUUUACUUAAAUUUGUUUUUACAAAUGAGGAAAUUGAGCCGGGCGUAGUGGUGCACGCCUGUAAUCUCAGCAGCUCAGGAGGCUGAGACAGGAGGAUUGCGAGUUCAAAGGCAGCCUCAGCAAUUUAGCAAGGCACUAAGCAACUCAGUGAGACUCUGUCUCUAAAUAAAAUACAAAAUAGGGCUGUGGAUGUGGCUCAGUGGUUGAGGGCCCCUGAGUUCAAUUUUCAGUACCAAAAAAAAAACAAACAGAUGAGGAAACUGAGGCCCAGAGAGGUUCGUUAACUUGCCUAGGAAUCCACCCUUAGUAAGGGACAGACUGGUAUUUAGUCCCAUGCAGUCUGGUUCCAGUGCCUAUGCUGUCAACCUCUGCUGCAAACCUGACUCACUGACUCUUGGUGUUGGGUCAGGCCACACCUCUGCCUAGAGUUUCCGAAUUCUUUAAUUAGCUUAGGUCUUCAAAGGCCAAGGCUAUGGGCUUGAUCUCUGAUAGCAGCAGUCUGAACCUUAAUCCUGGCCAGAUGUCCUGCAAACAACCCACAGAUCUAGGCCUGUGGUUACCAAGGAGACCAGGUGGGAGAGUGGGGAUGGACCAGUGCCAGUCAGCAGUUCCACAGGGAAAACUGUGCUUCCAACAAUAGGUCAGAACUCGCUUCUCCAUGACAUUAAAAUACCCAUGGAAACAUGUUAGCUAAACAAUCUGGCUCGCUUGCAUCUCCCUAUGCUAAGACUGUCCCCAACUGGCUUUGUAUGAACAGAAUGUUGGCUCCUACAUCCGUGAUUUGUUGAAAGGGUCAAAUUCCACUCUGGCUGUUUCAUCAAAAGAGUAAAUACUAUAUGUUUAGAUAUUUGAUGUGCUCAGAUUGAGUUUGGGAGGUUUGUAGCAAGGCCUAGAGUCAUGGGGAAUGGUAGAUCUGCCAGGGGCUUUAGGGAAUCAAAGUCUAGCCCCCUCUCACUAUACAGAUAAGGGAAGCCAGAUUGUCAGCGGGCAUGCACAUGGCUAAUGGUGGCAGAACCAGGACAGGACCUCCCAUCUGCCACUAACAGCCUGUCAGAGACAGUAAAAUUACCUUUCCCCAAACUCUUUGGAAAUUUAUUUUGGCUUCAUAGGCAAUGCUUGGGCAUCAAAAAGAGCUAGCUAUUUCAUUACUUGGGAAGGAAGGAGGUCAUACUCUCAGGGUAGUAGCAUGUCUAGAGCUAAACUGAGGUGAAAAUUUGUUAAGCUUUCUGACCAGUUUGAUCAAGGUAGCCAACAGGAACUUAUUCUCUCAAAUAUCCAGGUCCUGUAUUUGAAUCAACUUUUUUUUUUUUUACAUUUUAAUUCUAUGUAACUGCAUAUUUCUCUACUGUAUUUGUAUUUUACUGUUUCUUCUGGGAAAAAAAUCAUUGAAAUGAUUUUAAACGUAACUAUUGGGAACAACAUCACUAAAUUAUAUGCCAUUCAUCUUUCAUAAAUCCUCAUCCAAAAAACAAGACUGUCACUUUAAAAAUAAAUUUGUCAUUUGGGAUUUCCAUCUGGGAUGGUGUGAGAAUUCUGUAACCAGAUAGUCAUAGUGGUUGUACAACAUCAUGAAUGUAUUUAAUGACACCAAACGGUACACUUUUUAAAUGGCUAAAUGGUAAGUGUUGUGUUAUGUGUAUUUUUCAUCAAUAAAAUAAUGAAACUAAUUGUUGAGUAGAGAAAAAACUCACUUCAGUGGCAAAUAAUAUAUUUCAUUCGUUUAUUCCAUAAAUAUAUAUGGAGUGCCUGCCAUGGGUCAGAUAGGUAUUUGAAAAAUAUUUGAAAGUACUCACUAACUGGAAAUUGGCAUGAAAAUGCCAGAUACACGUCUGUAUCGCUGUUUAUGGAGUGAGUAGGGAUAUCUUCUAUUCACUCCUACACAUCCACUCUUCACUCUGUCUUUGGGGGCUCCUGAAUGGACUAUAGUAAAAGAUUCCCUUACCAUCUGGCUUCCUGUUCGGUUUGGUCAACGGGGGAUGCCAGAAGAAGAGAGGGAGGGAACAGUUUCAGAUAGGGCAUUUAUUCCCUGAACUCCUUCCCUGCUGGGCCAUGUAAAUAGGUUGCAUCUCUCUAUUAUAGAGGCCAAAGCUUCUCUUGCAGCUAUUCUCUCAGAUAUUCAAGAAGUGCCCUCUCUCUGUUCCCAUUCUGGCCUGGGGUGACAAUGGCUGGAAACCACUGCUAGUGCCAGAGUGCUUCAGCAGUCCUUGUUAAUUCCCUUUAGCCCCACUUACACAGCGGUCAACCAUCCUUUUACUAUAUAGUCCUCAGCCAGUUGCAGUGAGUGACCUGCACCUGUAAUCCCAGUGGUUCAGGAGGCUGAGGCAGGAGGAGCGAGAGUUCAAAGCCAGCCUCAGCAAUAUAGCAAGGCCCUAAGCAACUCAGUGAAACCCUACCUGUAAAUAAAAUAUGAAAAAGAACUGGGCAUGUGGCUCAGUGGUUAAGCGCCCCUGGGUUGAAUCCUCACUGCCAAAAUAAAUAGUCCUCAAUUACCCUAGUGAGUGUGCCAUCUAAUUUGCCUAGGAACUCUGACCAAUCCAAGAUAUUAUGCGGUGUUUUCACUUAUAACAGUUAAUCUGAAUUCUCAACCUGAUCGGAUUAAGAGAUACUAGAAGAUGGGUUUACGGGCUGGUCAAUGAGGGUGUGUCUAGGAAUGAUUGGCAUGUGGGAUAGCCAACUGAAAUGGAGACCCUUUCUAAAUGUGGGCAGCACUGUCCAAUAGGAUGAUGGCUUGGAUGGAAUGAAAAUUGGAAGAACAAGGAAGCAGCUGCAAAUGCAAGCUUGAUUCUUCUUGAAGGGGUUCUUGAUUGCUCCUGCCAUUCUCUGAGGAUAUCGGACUUUUGCUUCUUCACUUUUCUAAAGUGGAUUCUCCAGAAACCUUGGGUCUCAGACUAGGGUAGCAAUGUUGAUCCCUCUUGUUCUGGGGCUUCAGCCUCUUGGACUGGGCAGCUACUGGUUCUAACAGUCUGCAGAUGCCCAUUGUGAACUAUCCAGCUUCUGGUCACCUAAACCAACCUAUAAAAAAGUCCCUCUUUUAUAAUUAUACUUCCUGUUGAUUCUGUUCCUGUAGAGGACCCUGACUAAUGCACCUGUGUACCAAAUUGCAUAGCAAAUGGUAGACGUUUUAUCUGCCCCAACUCAUGUUAUCUAUGGCAAUGGCAAGAGCAUAAAGUUUGCCAUGUUUCAGAAAUGCAGAAGUAUUCAAAAUAGAAAGAGCUAAAUUCAAAGACUUUCUAUUUAAGGCUUUGUUUCUAGGCUUUCUUUUUUUUUUUAUCACUUACAGUUCAUGGUUUAAAAGGUGAUUAUAUCUCCAAAUGGGUUAACAUUUAUUUUUUUUAAAAACUCAUUAUUUUAGAAAAAAGUGGAGUACCAAUUAGCAAGAGUUUUGAAGUGUUCAAUAUAUUUUAUUAUAAAACAAGAAGGCACCAUUUCAUCUAGGGACUGCUGAUUGCUUAAAACUAUACUCUUUUGAAUAAACCUAUAUUAGUUUAAUGAAGUUUUCCUGUGAUUAGUAUAAUUUACUGCAGUUGUAUUCAAACCCCAAAUUAUGGGUAUUAUACAGAUGAAAUACGGCUCUGGUUUAGGGCAAUUAAUUUAAUCACUUUCCUGAUGGGCAAUGAAGCAGGGACUCCAUGGAGCAGGACUGCCCACUAGUACAUGAGUGAAGAGGAAAGCGCCUCUCGCUGGUCUGUGAAGGAAAGGUCCUUGCUCCCUCCUGCCUGCCACCACCCUUUCCUCCACCAGCACAUGGCAUUUCGCAACACAGCACCUCAUAUAGUGGCAGCUUGUUUCCAUUAAUUAAUUUCCUCAAGCUGUGUAGCUCAGCCUUCUUCAUCCCUCACCCUGACAUACUGCCUGGUAUCUUCAAGGGUGGUGUUCAUUGCAGAGGGUGCCUGGGCCAAAAGGAAGCUGUGUGGGCUGCUUCUACCCACAAAAGGUGCCUUUCUCUAACUUGCUGAAAUGUGCAACAGCAGCCCUUUGUCACCAUCUCUUGGCUGGUCUCUCCUUCUCCGGCCUUACCCUCUUCUUACUCAUCCUCCUGCUAGAACAAACUUCUAAUGUGGUUUUGCCCAUUGUGUUCCUGCUUAACCACUUCAAUGGCUCCCCAUUCUAGAAAGCAGUGCUUCUCAAACUUGUCCCUUCAGAUGAAUCACCUGGGGUGGGUGGGGGGUGGAUCCUCUUGAAAUGCAGAUGCUCAUUCAGAAGGUCUGGGGUGGGAGCUGAGACUCUGCAUGUCUGAGCAACUCCCAGGUGAGACUGAGGCUGUGGAUCUGCUAAACACUAAAUAGCAAGGCUCUUGGCAGCGUUGUGUCCGUGGUGAGAUGUUCUGCAUCUGCACUGUCCAAUAUAACAGCCAUUAGCCGUUCAAGUGCCUAUUGAGCACUUGAAAUGGGUCUAGUGAAACUGAGGAACCAUAUCUUACAUUUUAUUAAAUUUAAAUAAAUAUGGCUCGUGGCUACGCAUUAGACAGCACAGCUGUGUCAGAUGACAUCCUUGCUUCUCACUGUGACUUACAAAGCCCCCGACCAUCUUUGCCAACAAAGAUGGCACAACAUUACUAAACUUCUGGAAUUUUCUUAACAGGCCAAGUGAUUGUUAUGCGCUUUGGAUGUGCAUUCCCCACACCUGGAAUUCCUUUCUUCAGUUUUGUGACCAAUGAUGUCUCACUCUCUUUCCUGGUCCAGUUGGAGCGCUGCCUCCUCUGUGAGUCUGUUCCCGACAUACUCUGCUGACAGCAAUUAUUUACCAAUGUUAUCUAGGUAGUGCAUGGAAUGCCCUUUGCCCACAGUAUUCCUUUUUUUCCAGUAUUUUUAUUGAUGCAUUAUAAUUAUACACAAUAGUAGGAUUUUUUUGUUACAUAUUCACCCAUCCACAUGACAUAACAAUAGAAUUUGAUCAAUAUCAUUUCCCAAUAUUUCUCCAUUCCAUCUCCUCCUUUCUCCUCCCAGGCCCCUUUCCUCUACUCUACUGGUCUUCUUUCUGUUUUCAUGAGAUAACCCCCAACACACAAACACACACACACACACACACACCUAUUUCCCUUUUUGCCUCUCUAGCUUCUACAUAUGAGAAAAAACAUAUGACUCUUGAUUUUCUGAGUUUGGCUUAUUUUGUUUGCCAUAAUGCUCUCAAGUUCCAUCUAUUUUCCUGAAAAUGACAUAAUUUUAUUUUCCUUUAUGGCUGUAUUUACCAUUGUAUGUAUUUACCACAUUUUCUUUAUCCAUUCAUCCACUGAUGGAUACCAAGUCUGGUUCUGUAGUUUGGCUAUUGAGAAUUGUGCUGCUAGGUGGGCAUGCAGGUAUUGCUAGAAUAUGCUAACUUUGAUUCUUCAGGAUAAAUACUGAGGAGUGGUGUACUUGGGUCAUAUGGUGGUGCCAUUCCUAUCUCUUGAGGAAACAACACUGAUUUCCAUAGUGGUUCGACAAUGCCACCAACAGUGUAAAAGUGUUCCUUUUCCCCACAUCUUCUCCAGCAUUUAUUAUUGUUUGUAUUCUUGAUAAUUGCCAUUCUAACUGGAAUGAGAAGAAAUCUCAGUGUAGUUUUGACUUGCAUUUCCCUAAUUGCUACAAACGUUAAACAUUUUUUUAUAUUUUUGUUGGCCAUUUGUAUUUCUUCUUUUGAGAUGUGUCACUUAGUUCCUUUGCCCAUUUGUUGAUUGCAUUAUUUGGGAGGGACUUUUUAUGUUAAGGUUUUUUGAGUUCUUUUCAUAUUACAGAUAUUAAUCCCAUGUCAGAAGAGUAGGUAGCAAGAUUUUCUCCCAUUCUGUAGGUGCACUUUUAAUAUUCUUAAUAUUUUCCUUUGCUGUGUAUAGCCUUUUAAUUAGAUGAUAUCUCAUUUGUUAAUUCUUGGGAUUAUUUCCCAAGCUUUAGGAGUCCUUCUAAGGAGUCCUUCUAAGGAAACUGUGUCUAUAUAUUGGAGUUUUGAGUAUGUUUUCUUCAAGGAGUUGCAAAAUUUCUGGUCUAAUUCCUAGGUCUUUGAUCCAUUUUGAGUUGAUUUUUGUGCAGGAUGAGAUAGGGUUCUUGUUUCAUUCUUCUACAUAUGGAUAACCAGUUUUCCCAACACCAUUUGUUUUAAAAGGCUGUCUUUUUUCCCAAUUAAUGUAUUUGGCAUCUUUGCAAGUGUCAGAUUAUUGUAUCUGUGUGAGUUUGAAUCUGUGCCUUGUAUUCUGUUCUAUUGGUCUAUGUGUCUAUUCUUAUGCCAGUACCAUGCAGUUUUUGUUACCAUAACUCUGUAGUAUAAUUUGAAGUCAGUAUUGUGAUACCUCCAGGAUGGCUUUUUUUUUCUUAGAAUUGCUUUGGGUAUUCUGGGUUUUUCAUUCUUCCAAAUGAAUUUUAGUUUUUCAUUCUUCCAAAUGAAUUUUCUACUUCUGUGAAGAAUGUCACUGGUAUUUUGAUGGGGAUUGCAUUGGAUCCAUAUAUUGUUUUUUGGUAAUAUGGUCAUUUUAACAAUAUUAAGUCUGCCUAUCCAUGAACAAGUUUCACACUGUAUUUCACUCAGUCUGCACAUUAAGCUUGGUAUAUGGAAAUGGAAGCUUCAAGUAGCUAGCCUUGGGUCACAGAAACAGAAAAUAGAAAAUCAUAUAUUCAACCCAAUAUCUGUCUGAUUCUGAAGUCUAUUCCUCUCCCACCACAACUUGGUGUCUUCAUCUUGCACAGGGGACUUGUACAACACAUAACUAUGUGGUAGGGAAAGGAUCUGUCUAUGGUCUCUCUUCUCCAUGGGAUUAUAAAUUCUGAGAGGUCACAGGCUGCAUAUCAUUUAUUUCUGUAACCCUUUAUCAUGAAUGUUUGACAACUGCUGUGGAAAUGUGCUUGUUUCUUCUUUACAACUCUUUGUAAAAUGCUUGAGUGUGGUGACUGUGCUUUAGCUGACUGAUGUGCUUGGUGCUCAACUUGUCCCUAAUAAGAUUUAGAAAGAAUGAAGGAAAGGGGGAAGGGAGGAAGGAUGGAUUAGCCAAAUGAGCACGUUGAUCAUGGACAGCAUCAACAAGGACGUAGUCAGGAACCCAAGGGAAGGAAUUCUUGCUCAAUGACUUUUGAAACAGUCAUUUCCCUUCUCUUCAUAAUUUAGAAUCUUUCCUAUGCUGGGUCACUUUCUAUCUCCUGAAUUACUUGGGAUCACUUAAUUUAAUCUAACAAAUAUUUAACAAAACCACACACACACACACACACACACACACAGUGCUAGUCCUUAAGGGAUAUAGAAAACUAUACAUUGAAUAAGUCAUGUUUCUUACCCUCAAAGUAGCUAAGACUUUUAUGAGACAGACAGAUGGGUACCCAAAUAAUGCUAAGGAGAAAAUAAGGGGAGAGAGUAGGGGAGUGUAAGAAGGGCUAAAUAUGGGAGAAAACUGGAAUGACAAAGUUUUGACAUAUGCUUCUCUUUAGAUCUACCUAAUUAGUAUGACCAAUGUUCCCCUGAAUUAAUAUCUUAAAAGGUAAACUUUAUUGAGAAAAUGAGAAAAUGGGAAUACUGCCAGCAGGACCCAGGAAUAUAAAUUGGCGUGACCUUUACAAGGGAAGUUUAGAAUACUGUUCAAAUUAUUUAAAAACAUGCAUGCCCUUUGUUCCAGCAAUUCUACCUGUUGGCAUUUAUCCUAAGAUAAUCAUCACGGCUAUAUACUGAGUCUUAUCAGCAGAGUUGACUGUAACACUGUUUAUAAUUAUUAAGAUAUGCAAAAAAGACAAAUUUCCUAAUCCAUAAGCGAUUAAGUAAAUUUCUCCAAAUCCAUAGGAUUGAACACUAUUUAAUUAUCAAAAGUGAUACAAAAUUAUAUGCACUGAUAUUCAGAAGGACAUCAUUAUAUAUUUUUAAAUGAGAAAAGCAGGCUACAACAUGGAAUGUGCUGUAUGAUUUCCUAACCUGGGGAGAAAUGUGUGAGGGGGUUUCCUAUACAGAUGAAGCAAAGACCCCAGGAAGUCCUCAGAGGUUCUUCCCAUGCUCUCUGGGUGAUGGGAUUAAAUUAUUUUGGGCUUUAUGCUUUGCUUCAGUAUGUUCCAUUUUUAUGACCCCAAAAAUACAUUUUAAAAAAAUAAAGAUAUCACUAUGUUCAGUGGUUCCUUUUUAGGCUGACAUCUAAUUACCAAAUAUCCCCUUGAAGACCCAAGUUGCCUUACAGGAAAUCUAUAGGCGGCCAACUGCUUAGAAAUGUCUCUGGCUUGCAGAAGUCACGCUCUCUCCCAUCAUCAAUCAAUGUCCUCAUUCCUUGAUUUCCAAUAACCAUUAUUUUCCUGACUCUGAUUUCAAACCCAGUCUUGGUGGGAGCCCUCUCACCUUUGCCAAGCUUCUCUUGAUCAAUGUCCUCUGUCCCAGGGUGGCCCAUCUGCAACGAAAGUGAACCUCAUGGUGCUCAAAGGCUGGGGACCCAGGUGUGAAUAUUCAUCCCUGCCCAGUUCCCUCCAUUUGCUGUACCUUUUAACAUACAGUUCCUCAAUCCCUUGUCAUGCUGAUCUCUUUGUCUUCCAUUUUUGCAAGGCCACUGCUGUCUCUCCCUCCUCUGGGGAGGACGGGGUAUCAUACACCCGGCCCUUGUGGAUCAUUCCAUUCACCAGGAGCCCUCCAGUCACACAUGAAAUGUGAAGAAGCAAUUAAGCCUAAUCCGGCACCUAGACAUUAUUUGAUCUGUAAAACAGAUCUUUAAAAGAGAGAAACAAACUAAAGAGUAGCUCCCCAGUUGUUCCAACAAGCACAAGAUAGGUUUUAAAAGGAUUACAUAAAAUCCUUCAAGGAAAGUUCAUGUCAUCAUCCUAAAAAGAUUUCAGAUUGUGUAAGGAAAAAAAUUUAAUAACAAAAUUAGAAAGUGAUUCAGUCCAUUUUUUUUUUCGCCACAUAAGGAAUGUGGAUUAAGCAAUCCGUGUGUGUUUUUAUAAUAUUUUUACAACAGAUCCUGUCUCACUGAUGUCAUUCUGCAUUACAGAGAGAGUGGCAAAGGGAUUCUGGAGGCCACAGAACACCUUGGGCAUGAGGAGAGGGCUGGACAGAGAAAGGACCUAAGAGAAUACUGGGGGGUGGGGACCAGGGUCACCACAACCAAAAUCCAUGAGUACCUUGGCAGGGGAAGCAGCUACUAAGAACUAGUAGACUUGCCAGUUCGGAGAAGAGGCUAAGCUCAGCCUCAGGGCAAGUAGGCCGGAGGCCACGCCUCCACAGUGGGAACAAGCUGCUGACUGGUCAUCCAACAGCCACAGCUUGCCAUCUCUUUGAUCCCAGCUCUCCCCACACUCCUGCCACGCUCUACAGCCCAGCCAGCGCCUCCAGCACCACUACACUACCAUGCCAGCCUCAGCCCAGGGCUGCCCGCAAUGCUCUCUCCCUUCUUCUUUGCCAAGGGACGUACCAGUGCUCACCCUUUGAAGCUCAGGAUAUACCUAUGUCUACAUCUAUGUCCAUGUCUAUCUUUAUCUAGUUUUAUAGGGAGUCAAGAUGUAGUAGUUCUACACACACAUUCACAUUCUCACCACUCAUACUAUUUACUAUAUCCCAGGCACAGGCUUAGGAGCUUAAAAUGGUCAUUUCUUCAGGGCAGUCUCCUCUGAUCACCAUCCAGGCCAGGCAAAGUACCUUGCUGUAAAACCUAUGGUACCAUGUAUCUCCCCGUUGUGUGUUAACUACAGUGUAAGUAGAAAUAUAAACUCCACAAGAGUAAAGGCUCACUGUCACCUCCUCAGCAUUUAGAAUAGAGUUUGGUACCAUAACAGAUGUUUAAUAAUUUUUGUGUGCUGAUUGGAUUCACAUCUAUCUCACAAGCUUGAAGUUAAGUUCUGGAAGCUUAGGUGGCCAGUUUCUAUUCCCAGCUCCGAGUGUAGUCCUGGAACACAGGUUGUAUCCUGCCAAUGUUUAUCAAGUGCAUUGCUGAACUCUCUACUAAGUGCCAGCCAAAUGACUACAGCGAUGAGCAAGGUCCCACCUGGCUCUGUGCAUUUGCAGUUUAGUGUUAAAGAUUACAAGCGGGCUCGCUAGACACUGGAGGACCAUCUCUUCCAGUGUGUGGAUGGCACUGGAAGCCAAAAGGAGUUGGAGAAAUAGAGGUAGAGACUCGAAGAGACAGAGAGACCUGGACCCAAAGGGCAGGCAUCAAGCCUAGUAUAGAGGUGUUGAAGUUAACCCUUGCUUAAAUUAAAUUAUCUUAUUAUUUUGGAGAGGAGAUUGGAAAUAUUGCACAGUGCUUGCAAAAAUUAAAUAAAAACACCCCAUUGCACAAAAUGGAUAUUAUUUAUGACAUUGUUUCUUUACAAGAAAAAGAAGAGCCUGGUUGGAAGGUUUCCGUCCAUAAGCAGGUGUGAGCCUGCAUUUUCUAACUUCAGAAGGACCUCUUAAAAUGUGUCCAGGAUUUUUGUUUAUGUGGAUCCCAGCCUCAGUUUCAUUUCUCAUUAGACUAGGGAGGGAUUCCGCUGCAGGGCUCUCUUUCCUGGUGCCCUGUCUCGCAGUGAGUCGGGCCCGCUGGUUAAUGACGAGCAGUGGAAAGAAUGCCUUUAUAAUAGGAUCAGCACUCACGGACUUUUCUGCCUCCUAAAAGCUAGCCCUGCUCUUGAAAAGCCCUGAUCCUGUGUCCCUGUGGCUGAUUAGAGAAGAGAUGCCCUUCGUUUUGUACCACCUUCCCCACACCUUAGGCCAUUCAGUGACCUAUAUUCUUUCCAAAGAUGUUUGCUGUAUGCCUCUUUGGGCUCCCUGCCUAUUGGAGAGAGAGCCACAGUACUUAAGCUCCUGUGUUUGAGAACAGGCUUUGUUGUCUUCUGACAGAAAGGAAAAAACACAAUCCUCAGCACUGAAGAGCUCAGAAUUUAGUUGAGGAUGUAUAGUGUAUGUACCUGGAGCAAUGAGGGUAUAGUAUGAAUUAAUGUUCUUUUGUUUAUAAGCCAGCUCCACCUCUUAAGUAAGUGAAAAGAAAAUUUAUUGGGUGGAGACGAAGCAAUCACACAACAUUGAAGAAUUUAAUGACCAGGUUGUAGAAUGUAAAGAAUUCAGGGCAACUGCAGGGAUAUUAACGGGAAUAUGGGGACCGUCUCUGUCGAGGUCGUCAUCUAGGGGUUUACAAUAGGGUAAAUGAAGUGAGUGGUAGCAUCAGGAUUAUGGAAAACUUGAAAUUUUUUUUUUUAAAGAGAGAGUGAGAGAGGGAGAGAGAGAGAGAAAGAAUUUUAAUAUUUAUUUUUUAGUUAUCGGCGGACACAACAUCUUUGUAUGUGGUGCUGAGGAUCGAACCCGGGCCGCACGCAUGCCAGGCAAGCGCGCUACCGCUUGAGCCACAUCCCAGCCCGAAAACUUGAAAAUUUACAGAAGAAAAUUAAAACCACCUAGAAGCAAUUACUGAUUCGCUUCUGCUCUACAUCCCUCCAGUCUUUUAGUUCUUCAAGUGUGUGGGCCAGUGUGUGUCUUUCUCACAAAGGGGACAUUGACUUUAUGCUGUUUUAUGGUUGGCUUUUUUCCUUUAAUCUUCUAUAGAAAAAUUUUGAAUUGUCCCUGAAAGUUUUGGGAAAAUAUGAAUUUUAGUGGCUGAGUAGUUUUAUCAUGGGGCUUCACCAUAAUUUAUUUACUUUGGCUGGUUAUUUUAAUCAUUUUCCAUUUUUUUCAUUAUUACCAACUGCACCCUGAAAAAAAAAAGUGUUUCAGCACAUUUUCUGAGUUAUUGUCUGAAUGUCUGAUUAAGGAAAGGGCUUCCACCUAGUAUUUAAGAUAGAAUCAUCACCUGUGAUUUGAACCGCCCAGGAUAAUCGGGAAGUGCUACCCAGGCAGAAUGCUGCUCCACUGGCAGCCGUUUUGUGGGGUGCUCGCUCCUUCCACCCCCGAACAAGAUACCAUUGGGUAACUCUCUGGCUUCUUAAUGUUCUAAAUGGAACAAUUUGGUACUGGAAAGAAAGAGUGGCCCUGAAGCCUGAUCAAUAUCAGGCCAGUUUUUAUUCUUGGUCCCUGGAGAUGAAUCUGUUUUGUGGAGGUUAGGGAGAGUCAACUGAUUGCAAGCUGAUUUUAGGAGAUGGUUCCCUCUGGGUCAUGAGAUGAAGGAGGCAAGUAGGUUCUGGGAAGGAGACUAAAAACCUAGGAGUCCAUCAGAGACCUCAGAGCUUCUUGUUUUUAAUUUUUUUAAAUAUAACAAACAGCAUGUGCCAGUCAGUGUUCUAAGGGUUUUGUAAAUAUUCAGUCACUUAAUUCUCCUACCAAUUCUUUGAAGCAUUAUUAUUAUUUCUUUCAUUUUAUGGCUAGGAAGCCAAGUCACAGAAGUCAGUGUAGAGGGAGAGCUGGCACUUGAACCCAGGAAGACCAGUUCUCUGCAACUCUGCCCUGUGUCCAUGAAUAUAUUAUAGUUCAUACUUGGAAAUCAAAAUGUUUGAAAAAUGCUUGAACACUACCACCAAAGAGUGUCAAGCCAUUAGCCAAUAUGCAGGGCUUUUUUUCUUUUAUUGGACCUGCAACCUGUGGGUGGGGGUUAGGUCUUAAAGCUUUUGCUUUAAUAUUGGGAAACUGGCUCAAACCCUGGCUGGUCAGGGACAUUGUGACAUCUUUGCACAUCUUCCCACCUCCCUUCUAUGUGUGAAAGCCAUGAAUUUGAGUGCAUGGACCCUAGGCCUGAAGGUAUCAGCAUAAUGUACUUCUUUAUCUCAGUGAUGAUUUCAGAGAUUCGGAGAAACCAAGGUCUAAGCCCAACAGCACUUUGCAUUCCCUGAACUACAGGGAUUGGUUCAUAUAGGCUCGGUCUUGCAAAGUGCAGGGUUUUGUUUAAUAGGUGGAGAAGAAAAGAGCUAAAGAGCUUUCUUUUGCCUCUUGCCUACCAUGACCUUCUCGAACCAUGAAUCUCUAUAGGGACUGAGUUCUUUUUUCUUGAACUCACUUUGCUAAAGAAGUAACCAGGUAGAACAUGUCACAGAUGUUUACUGGAAGCUGAGACCAAUGGAGGUGGUUACAUACCAUACAGAACUGCAGAAACACGACAUGAAGUACGAGCUGUUCUUCCAAGGCUAGACCUGAUCCCUGAAAUCUGGUUUUCUCUUCCCCAUCAUCACCAGCCUCCACCAUCAUGCUCAGCUUCCUCUGUUCCCAACAUCUUGAAUCUUCUUUCUUUACCCCCAUUUUCUUGGGCCCCUCUUAUUCACCCUUGUAGCUGCAUUACCAAACCAAGUAUUCUCACACCCUUUGCAAGUUAGUUCGUCCUUCUUUGUCCCCUCCUCCUCCAUGUUUUCUUUCCCACCCCAAUGAAUAAAUCAAGAUAUCAAGAUGUUUUCUAAACAAAAAUUUCUUUACUUCUUAAGCAGAGUUCUACUGUGGCUUCCAGUUUUUAGAAUUGGCACAUGCAUGAAACCCUAGCUACUGGGGAGGUAGAAGCAGGAGGACUGAAAAUUCAAGGCCAGGCUCAGCAACACAGUAAGAUUGUUUCAAAAUAAAAUAAAUAAAUAAAUAAAUAAAUAAAUAAAUAAAUAAAUAAAAAGGUCUGAGAAAAAAGGGGGUAGGAAUGUAACUCAGUUGUAGAGUACCCCUGGAUUCAAUCUCCAGUACCAAUUAAAAAAAAGAAACAAUGCUUUUUGUCUAUAUGAUACUGUUAAACAAAAUAUGAUCUGCUCUGUCACUCAAACAGUCUUCUUCCCUGAUGUCCCAUCCCAUGUCCUAUCAGCCAUGACAUCCUAUUGGCUGCAUGAGAGAAUGCUCUCGGUCUCAGGCUUUCUCCCCGCAGCUCCAUUUCAGGUAAUCAUUGUUUUUCUCUUAGACUGGGGUAUUUAAUCCAUAGACAUUAGUGAAGUUUGUGCUAAUCUUCAAGGGAAAAUAAAAAUAAAGACAACAUAGUAUAUUUUUCCUUAAGUCUAAAUGUUUUAAAAAUAAAGAGCCCAAGACUAGAUAUCCACAUAUGAAAAAUGAAGUUGGAAUGUAUCUUAUGCCACAUACCCUAGUUAAUGCAGAAUGGAUCAAGGACCAAACAUGAGAGCCAAAACUAAAACUCUUGAAAAAAAAAAGUAUUGGGAAAAGUUUCAUGAUGUUGAAUUUGAAUAUGACACCAAAAGCAUAGACAACAAAGGAAAAAAAUAAAUUUCACGUACUUCAUUCAAAUUAAAAACUUUUAUACAUCAAAGGAUGCUAUCAACAGAAUGAAAAGGAAACCCACAACAUGGGAGAAAAUAUCUGCAAAUCGUAUGUCUGAUAAAAGACAUUUAAAGAACUUUGUUAAAUUUAACAACAAGAAAACACACAACUUGGGUUUUUUAAAAGGUGCAAAAGAUUUGAAUAGACAUAUCUCCAAAGAUAUACAAAUGGUCAAUAAGUACAUGAAAAUCGUGCAACAUCACUAAUCAAUAGGCAAAUGUAAAUCAAAACCACAGUGAGAUACCACUUCAAAUCCAUUCAGAAUUACAGCAAUUAUGAAAAAGAAAACCCAGAAAAUAUCAAGUGUUAGUGAGGAUUUGGGAAAAUAGGGACCCUUAUGCAGUACAUGAUCACACACUGUUACUUGUCUUUUUCUCUCUGUUAGACAUGAGCUACCAUAUCCAGCCUGCACUCAACAGCAGGGGAUUGUGCAAGAGAGAACUCCAACCAGCCGGGGUCACUGGGGCCAUAUUGGAGACUGGCUACCAAGUACCUCCUGUGGGCAUUUGACAUUUGUCUACUCCUCACAGUAUUCUUGCCAGCUAUGAAUUAUUUUUGCUAUUUAAAAAAUUGAAAAAUGAAAAACUAAAUACGAUUGUGGCAGCCAUGAAAAUGUUCUGUUCAGAUCUCCUUCAGGAGAACCUUCUGGGAGGUGGGGUAUAGUUGACUCACAGCCACUGCCACUUCUCUGGAAUCAUCUCUGACUUUGCACCGAGGCCUUGCUCCUAGUUAGGGACUGAACACAGCCAGGGUACCAGAGAUGGCCCAUUCCUGUUGGAGUCAGGACUCAUCUAAUUGGCAAUGUUCACGCACGGAUUCCACAUCAGCCUGACUGACCCUCUCUGGAGGUCUAGGUCUCCUCCUCUACAACCCUCCUUUCUUACCACUCAACUUUGACACAGAUGCCAGACCUGACUUGAAGUGCAUGCACGGUUUUGAAGAGGAAGUAUCAUCUGAGACCUACUGCACGAGCUCAGAUUAAUUCAGUAUUACUGGGCUAUAAAUGUAAGUGACACAGCCUUUUCCUCACCAUUUGGGAAGACCAUUUCUGAAGGAGUGCCUUGCGCAGAUGACUUGGAAGUGGAGCUGGUUACAGUUGAUUUAAGGGAUAGUGCCAACAAUUUGUGCUCAAAGGUUUUCUUCAGUCUCUUCUGUUUAUACCCAACAUUUAACUCAUACUGGCUGCUUCCAUUUGAAAUAAUGCAAAAAAAAAAUGUUAAAAUAUAAAACUUACCAAAUUUUACACUAUAAUCAAUGACUAUUAUGAUACCUCAAUAGUCCUGUUAAAAAAAUAUAAAGUCCUAGGGCAGGCAGCAGAGGAGGUGAGGGAGAGGGGAAAUAAUAGGGAAUGAUACUGACCAAAUUAUAUUUUUAUAUUGUGUGUAUGGAUGAAUGUUUAGCAACAGAUCUCACUAUUAUGUAUAAUUAUAAUGCAUCAAUAAAAAUGGGAAAAAUAUAAAGCCCCCACCCACCCCUGCCAAAAAAACAAAACAAAACAAAACAUGGAGUACGUACUAUGUCUCAUCCUGGGGUGGGAGACCUAGUGCCCACUUCCAACACUUCUUCUGCACCUAUCACAUAAUUCACUCCUAGUAGCUAUGUUGGUUGAGAUUUUUUUAUGUGUGCAGCUAUUUCAUAUGAAAUAUUUUUUAAUCUUCCAGACAGGGGGUAGGGGAGAAAUUGAAAUCAUUGCUCUAUUUUCCAAAUAAGUAAAUUUGGGCUAAGUGUUGAAAUAAUUUGCUGAAAGUCAUUCAGCUAAGAAGAAUCAGAGCUCAGAUAUGACUCCAAAGACCUUGCUUGGGCCGUUAAAAUGUAUAGUGCUUGUACCUCCUCCCACUGUGUGUCAUUUAUGAAUGAAAAACUUACUCUAGUGUCUGGUACACAGCAGGCACUCAACAAAUAUUAGUGUUCUUCCUAGAUAACCCUCCAACUGGAAAUCUGUCAGGUAUAAUUUUAUAGUGUUCAGUACCAGUUACUUAGAAAUAACUGAAGCCUUGCUUCAACAUCCUCAUGUAUUAUUCUAUUAACUAAUUCACUUUUAAAACACCUAACAUGUGUCAGGCAUUGUGCUAGCACUAAAGAUAGAGGACUAGUUUUCUGUAGCUGUUAUAACAAAUUACCAUAAACCAGUGGCUUAAAAGAAUAGAAAUUGAUUCUUUCAUAGAUCUGGAAGCCAGAAGUAUGAGCUCAGGGUGAUAUCAGCAGGGCCCACCUCUCUCAGAAGGAUAUAAGGAAUUAUCCUUCCUUUUAUUUUAUUUUAUUUUUGUAUGUGUCUUCUUGUUGUUGUUGUUGUUCUAAUCAGUUAUACCGGACAGCAGAGUGCUCUUUGAUUCAUUGACAUACUCCACUUUUGAUGGGACACGGAAUGGCUUUAUUUGGAGCCAGCUGAGUUCCCACAGGGACUUGCUGAAAAAUUGCCCUUUCACCCCCACAAACACAUACACACUUCCAACUCCCACCAUCUCCUCCAGGUGGCCUGGGAGUACAGAGAGGGAGGUCUCUGUGCAGGAAGCCCACAUCUCUGUAGGGGGUAUGAAACUUACUCCGUAAGUGGGAGGAACUGAAAUAAGCCUCUGCUUAUAAUAAUUUGGGGACUACCAGAAUCUGUCAUAGAAAAUUGCCUCUGGCUCCACCAUACAGGAUUUGGAGCUUCUAGAUGCACAAGAGGUAAGGAACCUGGGAUAAGGCAUUCUCCUUCCCAGUCUUGGGGUGUCAGGGGUACCUGAGGUUCCUGGGAGUCAGUAAGACCCUGCAGAAGGUGCUGUGGUUGUUUUAGCCAGCUUUUUCACUACUAUGACAAAAAGGACCCAACCAGAAUAACUGUAGAGGUGGGAAAGUUUAUUUGGGGGCUCAUGGUUUUAGAGAUCUCAAUCCAUAGACAGCAGACUCCAUUCCUCGGGGCUCAAGAUGAGGCUGAACAUUAUGACAGAAGAGUGUGACACAGGCAAGCAGUUCACAUGAUGAUCAGAAAGCAGAGAGAGAGAGACUCCACUUGCCAGCUCCACAAGCCACAACCCUCAUGCCCCACCUCCUCCAGCCACACCCCACCUGCCUCCAGUUACCACUCAGUUAAUCCCAUCAGGUGAUUAAUUCACUGAUUGGAUUAAGGCUCUCAGAACCCAAUUAUUUCUUCUUUGAACCUUCUUGCAUUGUCUCACAAGUGAGCUUUUGGGGGACACCUCACAUCCAAACCAUAACAGUGGUUUAUGCUAUCUUGCCAGUCUCCACCCACCUGCCCUACAAGGCUGCCAGUGGGGGAGGGAGCCCUCAGCCACAGGUGUCAGAGGUGGGGAUUACCGGCAGAGAGUUGAUGUUCAGAAGCAAAAUGAACCCUGAUCUCCCAUACCAGGGGGAAAGUGAGACCCUCACAGGGCCCUGCAGCGACUCAACAAAUGGGCUUCCCAGGAGAGCCCAUAUUUGGAUGCCUGCCAUCCACAGGGAACAAAUGGCCUGUCAGUGUCAAAUGGAGGAGCUGUGGUGACCAACAGAGAGGAUUAUAGGCUUACAACAAGCAGUCAAGUAAGAUGAUACUCCCUCCCCUUUCUCCUCCUGUCCCCAGUACCAAAGCAGAGCAUGCUGGGAACCAGAGGAAGCCAGACCACCCUCUCAGACCCGGGCAACAGUCUCAACCUUGGCUGCACAUUGGAGUCACCCUGGGAAGUGAAGAGUCUUGAUGUGCCCAGAUACUGGUCUGGAGUAGAAUCUCAGCAUUGAAGUUUUUAAUGAGAAGCCAGGACUGAGAACCGCUUCUCUAAAGCCAAACUAGUCGCCUGUGCUUGGCAGAAUAGGGUGGCCAGAUAUAGCAGAUAAAAAUAAAAGUAUUCUAUGAGACACACAUAGAGUCAAAAUUAUUGUUUAUCUAAAAUCGACAGUUUACCGACGUUCUGUGUUUUAUCUGGCAAUCCUAAGCGGGGAGGAAAAUAUUUGAAAUGGAUAGAAGAUGGAAAUUGGAAAAUGAAGAGGUUGGAGUGUUAAAGAUCAAAAAUAACUGUUUAAUAAUAGAAGGUGACUGAAACAGUGUGGGAUUGGGCUAAUGUGUCACCAAAGGAGCUGCUACCCAAGGGAGAAAUUGGGGAGGAUUUGACAUAAGCAUACUUCAGUAAAAUGAAACCAUUCCAUGUUUAGGCCUCUGGUAUGUUGAGACUCCCAGUAAACCAGUUAUAUCAUUAUGACCAAUAAACUUGUUUGAGAGAUGAGCAAUGGAAGUCUGGAGAACUGAUGUCAUUUGUGUAGGCUCACACAGCUGGAAAGUAACAGGGCCAGGAUUAGAACCCCAGUCAAUUUGAGUUUAUGAAAAGAAAAAAAAAAAAAAAGAAAAAGUUCUUUCUAUGGUACCAUAACCUCCUUUAGAAUUUUUUCUUGAUACUAGUAAUAGUGGACUGAUUCCCUAUAACAGAGCUAACCUGUCCAAAUGACCACCUUUCUGAAGCCAAAGUAGUAGCCUGUCCUUCGGGGACAGUAUCGGGUGGCCAGAUUUAGCAGAUAAAAAUAAAAGUGUUACAUGAGACCUGCUUAGAGUCAAACAUUAUUUGUUCAUCUCAAAUUCUAAUUUUGCUGGGCAUUCUUGUAUUUUAUCUGGCAACCCCAGGAGGGGAAGAAAAAGUAUUUGAAUGGCUAACAUCAUAAAAGGGCAGAGUGUGGAGAAGCCAGGGCUGGGGUUGUGAGUUUUGGACCCGGCAGACGGGCCCCAUGGCUGGCCUUGCUACCAUCUGUAGGUGACAGGGUGAGGGCUGAGCAGGAAACACUUCUGCCUCCUUGUCCUCUCAGUUACUGAGCAGCCAAAUGGCGGUGGCUGCCUGAAUGUUUAUUUGGCGGCAAUCUCUGCCGCUCCAUCAUGAUAUCUACUGCUUAUAUUUCUGUAUUUUAAUUAAAUGUCAUCUCAAC
This 28250-nucleotide long non-coding RNA is filed under the name Marmota monax (woodchuck). Lineage: Eukaryota; Metazoa; Chordata; Mammalia; Rodentia; Sciuridae. The record is from RNAcentral.